RNAcentral lists this ribosomal RNA (872 nucleotides) under uncultured Planctomycetota bacterium. Its description in RNAcentral is "bacterial SSU rRNA". It matches the Rfam family "Bacterial small subunit ribosomal RNA", at positions 459 to 1320 of the family's 1533-position model. Lineage: Bacteria; Pseudomonadati; Planctomycetota. The record is from RNAcentral.
CCACAUUUAUUUGACGAAGGCUCCAAAGGAAGCCACGGCUAACUCUGUGCCAGCAGCCGCGGUAAUACAGAGGUGGCAAGCGUUGUUCGGAAUUAUUGGGCGUAAAGAGCACGUAGGUGGGUUUGUAAGUCAGAUGUGAAAGCCUUCUGUUCAACGGAAGAAUUGCAUCUGAAACUGCGAGUCUUGAGUGUAGGAGGGGAGAAUGGAACUUCUGGUGGAGCGGUGAAAUGCGUAGAUAUCAGAAGGAACGCCGGCGGCGAAAGCGAUUCUCUGGCCUAUUACUGACGCUCAGUGUGCGAAAGCUAGGGGAGCAAACGGGAUUAGAUACCCCGGUAGUCCUAGCCGUAAACGAUGGGCACUAAGUAGAGGGAAUUACCGAUGUUCUCUCUGCCGUAGCUAACGCAUUAAGUGCCCUGCCUGGGGAGUACGGCCGCAAGGCUAAAACUCAAAAGAAUUGACGGGGGCUCGCACAAGCGGUGGAGCAUGUGGCUUAAUUCGAUGCAACGCGAAGAACCUUACCGGGGCUUGACAUGGUAGAAGUAGGAACCCGAAAGGGUAACGAACGGUAUCCAGUCCGUAACUAUCACAGGUGUUGCAUGGCUGUCGUCAGCUCGUGUCGUGAGACGUUGGGUUAAGUCCCCUAACGAGCGAAACCCUUGUUUUUAGUUACCAGCGGGUUGUGCCGGGUACUCUAGAAAGACYGCCGUCGUCAAGACGGAGGAAGGUGGGGAUGACGUCAAGUCAUCAUGGCCCUUAUGCCCCGGGCUGCACACGUGCUACAAUGGUCGGUACAAAUGGAAGCGAAGCCGAGAGGUGAAGCGAAUCCUAAAAAGCCGAUCUCAGUUCGGAUUGGAGGCUGAAAUUCGCCUCCA